AGUCUGACGGAGCACGCCGCGUGAGUGAUGAAGGUUUUCGGAUCGUAAAGCUCUGUUGUUAGGGAAGAACAAGUGCCGUUCAAAUAGGGCGGCACCUUGACGGUACCUAACCAGAAAGCCACGGCUAACUACGUGCCAGCAGCCGCGGUAAUACGUAGGUGGCAAGCGUUGUCCGGAAUUAUUGGGCGUAAAGGGCUCGCAGGCGGUUUCUUAAGUCUGAUGUGAAAGCCCCCGGCUCAACCGGGGAGGGUCAUUGGAAACUGGGGAACUUGAGUGCAGAAGAGGAGAGUGGAAUUCCACGUGUAGCGGUGAAAUGCGUAGAGAUGUGGAGGAACACCAGUGGCGAAGGCGACUCUCUGGUCUGUAACUGACGCUGAGGAGCGAAAGCGUGGGGAGCGAACAGGAUUAGAUACCCUGGUAGUCCACGCCGUAAACGAUGAGUGCUAAGUGUUAGGGGGUUUCCGCCCCUUAGUGCUGCAGCUAACGCAUUAAGCACUCCGCCUGGGGAGUACGGUCGCAAGACUGAAACUCAAAGGAAUUGACGGGGGCCCGCACAAGCGGUGGAGCAUGUGGUUUAAUUCGAAGCAACGCGAAGAACCUUACCAGGUCUUGACAUCCUCUGACAAUCCUAGAGAUAGGACGUCCCCUUCGGGGGCAGAGUGACAGGUGGUGCAUGGUUGUCGUCAGCUCGUGUCGUGAGAUGUUGGGUUAAGUCCCGCAACGAGCGCAACCCUUGAUCUUAGUUGCCAGCAUUCAGUUGGGCACUCUAAGGUGACUGCCGGUGACAAACCGGAGGAAGGUGGGGAUGACGUCAAAUCAUCAUGCCCCUUAUGACCUGGGCUACACACGUGCUACAAUGGACAGAACAAAGGCAGCGAACCGCGAGGUUAAGCCAAUCCCACAAAUUCUGUUCUCAGUUCGGAUCGCAGUCUGCACUCGACUGCGUGAAGGCUGGGAUCGCUAGUAAUCGCGAUCAGCAUGCCGCGAUG
RNAcentral lists this ribosomal RNA (989 nucleotides) under Bacillus sp. (in: firmicutes). Its description in RNAcentral is "bacterial SSU rRNA". It matches the Rfam family "Bacterial small subunit ribosomal RNA", at positions 380 to 1364 of the family's 1533-position model. The record is from RNAcentral. Lineage: Bacteria; Bacillati; Bacillota; Bacilli; Caryophanales; Bacillaceae.